CACACGACUCUCGGCAACGGAUAUCUCGGCUCUCGCAUCGAUGAAGAACAUAGCGAAAUGCGAUACCUGGUGUGAAUUGCAAAAUCCCGCGAACCAUCGAGUCUUUGAACGCAAGUUGCGCCCGAGGCCACUCGGCCGAGGGCACGCCCGCCUGGGCGUCACGC
Molecule: ribosomal RNA, 164 nt
Filed under: Hordeum brevisubulatum
Lineage: Eukaryota; Viridiplantae; Streptophyta; Magnoliopsida; Poales; Poaceae
Description: 5.8S ribosomal RNA
Rfam family: 5.8S ribosomal RNA
About the family: 5.8S ribosomal RNA (5.8S rRNA) is a component of the large subunit of the eukaryotic ribosome. It is transcribed by RNA polymerase I as part of the 45S precursor that also contains 18S and 28S rRNA.
Source: RNAcentral